This 516-nucleotide ribosomal RNA is filed under the name uncultured bacterium. Its description in RNAcentral is "bacterial SSU rRNA". It matches the Rfam family "Bacterial small subunit ribosomal RNA", at positions 791 to 1301 of the family's 1533-position model. The record is from RNAcentral.
UAGUCCACGCCGUAAACGAUGUCAACUAGGUGUAGGGGGUGUUGAUCCCUUCUGUGCCGCAGCUAACGCAUUAAGUUGACCGCCUGGGGAGUACGGUCGCAAGAUUAAAACUCAAAGAAAUUGACGGGGGCCCGCACAAGCGGUGGAGUAUGUGGUUUAAUUCGAUGCAACGCGAAGAACCUUACCUGGUCUUGACAUCUCGGGAAUCUCUUGGAAACAUGAGAGUGCCUUCUUUGAAGGAGCCCGAUGACAGGUGCUGCAUGGCUGUCGUCAGCUCGUGUCGUGAGAUGUUGGGUUAAGUCCCGCAACGAGCGCAACCCUUGCCUUUAGUUGCCAGCAGUUCGGCUGGGCACUCUAAAGGGACUGCCGGUGUCAAACCGGAGGAAGGUGGGGAUGACGUCAAGUCCUCAUGGCCUUUAUGACCAGGGCUACACACGUACUACAAUGGCCGAAACAAAGGGCAGCGACAGGGCGACCUGAAGCGAAUCCCAUAAAUUCGGUCUCAGUCCGGAUUGG